GACGAACGCUGGCGGCGUGCUUAACACAUGCAAGUCGAGCGGUAAGGCCCUUUCGGGGGUACACGAGCGGCGAACGGGUGAGUAACACGUGGGUGACCUGCCCUCAGCUCUGGGAUAAGCCUGGGAAACCGGGUCUAAUACUGGAUAUGACUCCAUGACGCAUGUUGUGGGGUGGAAAGCCUUGUGCGGCUGAGGAUGGGCCCGCGGCCUAUCAGCUUGUUGGUGGGGUGANGGCCUACCAAGGCGACGACGGGUAGCCGGCCUGAGAGGGCGACCGGCCACACUGGGACUGAGACACGGCCCAGACUCCUACGGGAGGCAGCAGUGGGGAAUCUUGGACAAUGGGCGCAAGCCUGAUCCAGCCAUGCCGCGUGGGUGAAGAAGGCCU
Molecule: ribosomal RNA, 388 nt
Filed under: uncultured bacterium
Lineage: Bacteria
Description: bacterial SSU rRNA
Rfam family: Bacterial small subunit ribosomal RNA
Source: RNAcentral